Megalops cyprinoides (Indo-Pacific tarpon) is the source of this 827-nucleotide long non-coding RNA. RefSeq lists it as uncharacterized. Lineage: Eukaryota; Metazoa; Chordata; Actinopteri; Elopiformes; Megalopidae. The transcript is spliced from 3 exons. The record is from RefSeq and is a predicted model, not a curated record.
GUACGAGAGUUCAUGACCUUGGAGUUAGAGUUUCCGGAAGGAAGCGGGGGAAAGGAAAAGUUAAUGGCGCGGAGCAGAUAGCAGGGAACUGGGGAACAGUUGUUGUACCACGGGUGGAGAGUGUGUGAGGCAGGCUCCCCGCGGCAGUCACGGGUUUGUGUUGGUGAACGCGAGGCGAGUUCGGCUAGGUGGCUGGCCGGAGCUGGGCUGACGGUGCGGUCACCGCUGUGAGAAGACAUCCCCUGCACGGACGGGAGGAGUUCCGCCGGGUCGACGGAGAUAGCUGCUGCCAAGGGAGACGGAGGACCGACGCUGCUAGCAGGUGCCGAGGGGUACAGAGGGCUGUCGCUGCGAGUUGCUGCGGGCGGAGACGGUUGCUGCCGUGACGAGGGAGCGAUUCAUUCAUUCGCUCUCUGCGGUCUGGUCCUGCUGAUUUCACCGAUACACGGAGAGGGGCUCCAUAAAUACCUGCAGAAAGAGUCUGUGGACUUGGCACAAGCAACAUUCUACAAAGAUGCAGUGUUGGAAACUGAAAUCAACGUGGAGUAAUGAAAUGGCACCGAAGUUCUACAAGGAAACAAGAAAUUUGGCCAACAACAGCCAUAAGGGGACAGAGACUGAGGUGAACUGCAAUAAAUUUAAGAAGAGAAAAGGUGAGCAGUGCACAAAUCAAUAGUAAAGAUAAGUAGCAUAAUAACCUUUGGAUGUGUGUGUGUGUGUGUGACAAUAUUUAUCUAUUAUAAAGGUAGAUAUAGCCUCCCCAACCUACCAAUGCCAAUCUCACUUCAAAAAAAAAAAAAAGACAAGCCCCAGGUCAAGGGGCUAGA